UACAGAGGGUGCAAGCGUUAAUCGGAGUUACUGGGCGUAAAGGGCGCGUAGGCGGUUAUUUAAGUUUGAUGUGAAAUCCCUGGGCUUAACCUAGGAACUGCAUCAGAUACUGGGUAACUAGAGUAUUGUAGAGGGUAGUGGAAUUUCCGGUGUAGCGGUGAAAUGCGUAGAGAUGUGGAGGAAUACCGAUGGCGAAGGCAGCCCCCUGGGCCAAUACUGACGCUCAUGCACGAAAGCGUGGGGAGCAAACAGG
RNAcentral lists this ribosomal RNA (253 nucleotides) under uncultured bacterium. Its description in RNAcentral is "partial 16S ribosomal RNA". It matches the Rfam family "Bacterial small subunit ribosomal RNA", at positions 524 to 776 of the family's 1533-position model. The record is from RNAcentral.